UACGAAGGGGGCUAGCGUUGUUCGGAAUUACUGGGCGUAAAGCGUAUGUAGGCGGAUCGUUAAGUCGGGGGUGAAAUCCCGAGGCUCAACCUCGGAACUGCCUUCGAUACUGGCGAUCUUCGAGUCCGGGAGAGGUGAGUGGAACUCCGAGUGUAGAGGUGAAAUUCGUAGAUAUUCGGAAGUACACCAGUGGCGAAGGCGGCUCACUGGCCCGGUACUGACGCUGAAAUACGAAAGCGUGGGGAGCAAACAGG
This 254-nucleotide ribosomal RNA is filed under the name uncultured bacterium. RNAcentral describes it as "partial 16S ribosomal RNA". It matches the Rfam family "Bacterial small subunit ribosomal RNA", at positions 524 to 776 of the family's 1533-position model. The record is from RNAcentral.